RNAcentral lists this ribosomal RNA (433 nucleotides) under uncultured bacterium. RNAcentral describes it as "partial 16S ribosomal RNA". It matches the Rfam family "Bacterial small subunit ribosomal RNA", at positions 29 to 506 of the family's 1533-position model. The record is from RNAcentral.
GCGAACGCUGGCGGCAGGCUUAACACAUGCAAGUCGAGCGGGCAUCUUCGGAUGUCAGCGGCAGACGGGUGAGUAACACGUGGGAACGUACCCUUCGGUUCGGAACAACUCUGGGAAACUGGAGCUAAUACCGGAUACGCCCUUAUGGGGAAAGGUUUACUGCCGAAGGAUCGGCCCGCGUCUGAUUAGCUAGUUGGUGGGGUAACGGCCUACCAAGGCGACGAUCAGUAGCUGGUCUGAGAGGAUGAUCAGCCACACUGGGACUGAGACACGGCCCAGACUCCUACGGGAGGCAGCAGUGGGGAAUAUUGGACAAUGGGCGCAAGCCUGAUCCAGCCAUGCCGCGUGAGCGAUGAAGGCCUUAGGGUUGUAAAGCUCUUUUGUCCGGGACGAUAAUGACGGUACCGGAAGAAUAAACCCCGGCUAACUUCGU